Molecule: unclassified non-coding RNA, 471 nt
Filed under: Hevea brasiliensis (rubber tree)
Lineage: Eukaryota; Viridiplantae; Streptophyta; Magnoliopsida; Malpighiales; Euphorbiaceae
Source: RNAcentral
UGAGGACCAGUUUGCUUGGUAACAAGUAUCUGGCCAAGCAUCUUUCCAGCUGUCUCUUCAACCUUGCAAGCCUUAACAAUGUGAACUCCGCCCUCAAAGCCAUUCUUAAAUUUUCCUAAGCCUCGCCCACCAGCCAAAAUUUGGCUCUUAACCACCAACUCACUUUCAUUAGGAAAUACUUCUUGAAUUGCCUUUCUGACCUCAUCAACAGACGAAACAGCUACUCCCUUUGGGACAUUGAUACCAUACUUGCUCAUCAAAUCAGCUCCCUGAUACUCAUGGAUGUUGAGACGGCGGAGUUGCUGCUGCUGCCAAUUUCCGGCGACAGAGAGGGAGCGAGAAACCAGCUUGUUUAGCAAUCCUCUCAUUAUGCUCCUUCUCACCGAAACUUCCAACCCUAGAUAUGGAAAUAUCACAGAACGAAAGAGAAGAAUGAGAGAGGUGAAAGGAGAGCACUACCGGAAUCAUAAG